Molecule: ribosomal RNA, 499 nt
Filed under: uncultured bacterium
Lineage: Bacteria
Description: bacterial SSU rRNA
Rfam family: Bacterial small subunit ribosomal RNA
Source: RNAcentral
GAGUUUGAACCUGGCUCAGGAUGAACGCUGGCGGCGUGCUUAACACAUGCAAGUCGAGCGAAGCAUUCUGCUUUAAAUCUUCGGAGGCGAAGCAGUCUGACUGAGCGGCGGACGGGUGAGUAACGCGUGGGCAACCUGCCUCAUACAGGGGGAUAACAGUUAGAAAUGACUGCUAAUACCGCAUAAGACCGCGGUACCGCAUGGUACAGCGGUAAAAACUCCGGUGGUAUGAGAUGGGCCCGCGUCUGAUUAGCUAGUUGGCGGGGUAACGGCCCACCAAGGCGACGAUCAGUAGCCGACCUGAGAGGGUGACCGGCCACAUUGGGACUGAGACACGGCCCAAACUUCUACGGGAGGCAGCAGUGGGGAAUAUUGCACAAUGGGGGAAACCCUGAUGCAGCGACGCCGCGUGAGCGAUGAAGUAUUUCGGUAUGUAAAGCUCUAUCAGCAGGGAAGAAAAUGACGGUACCUGACUAAGAAGCCCCGGCUAACUACGUGC